RNAcentral lists this ribosomal RNA (301 nucleotides) under uncultured bacterium. Its description in RNAcentral is "partial 16S ribosomal RNA". It matches the Rfam family "Bacterial small subunit ribosomal RNA", at positions 509 to 807 of the family's 1533-position model. The record is from RNAcentral.
CAGUCGCCGCGGGAAUACGAAGGGUGCAAGCGUUAAUCGGAAUUACUGGGCGUAAAGCGUGCGUAGGCGGUGAGUUAAGUCUGCUGUGAAAUCCCCGGGCUCAACCUGGGAAUGGCAGUGGAUACUGGCUCGCUAGAGUGUGUCAGAGGAUGGUGAAAUUCCCGGUGUAGCGGUGAAAUGCGUAGAGAUCGGGAGGAACAUCAGUGGCGAAGGCGGCCAUCUGGGACAACACUGACGCUGAGGCACGAAAGCGUGGGGAGCAAACAGGAUUAGAUACCCCCGUAGUCCCUGUCUCUUAUAC